CUACGGGAGGCAGCAGUGGGGAAUAUUGCACAAUGGGCGAAAGCCUGAUGCAGCGACGCCGCGUGAGUGAAGAAGGCCUUAGGGUUGUAAAGCUCUUUCAACGGUGAAGAUAAUGACGGUAACCGUAGAAGAAGCCCCGGCUAACUUCGUGCCAGCAGCCGCGGUAAUACGAAGGGGGCUAGCGUUGUUCGGAAUUACUGGGCGUAAAGCGCACGUAGGCGGAUUGUUAAGUGAGGGGUGAAAUCCCAGGGCUCAACCCUGGAACUGCCUUUCAUACUGGCAAUCUAGAGUCCGGAAGAGGUGAGUGGAAUUCCGAGUGUAGAGGUGAAAUUCGUAGAUAUUAGGAAGAACACCGGUGGCGAAGGCGGCCCACUGGAUCGGUACUGACGCUGAGGUGCGAAAGCGUGGGGAGCAAACAGGAUUAGAAACCCUUGUAGUCC
This 440-nucleotide ribosomal RNA is filed under the name uncultured bacterium. Its description in RNAcentral is "bacterial SSU rRNA". It matches the Rfam family "Bacterial small subunit ribosomal RNA", at positions 339 to 796 of the family's 1533-position model. The record is from RNAcentral.